This 2442-nucleotide long non-coding RNA is filed under the name Homo sapiens (human). RNAcentral's name for it is "non-protein coding lnc-RALGDS-2:4". The record is from RNAcentral. Lineage: Eukaryota; Metazoa; Chordata; Mammalia; Primates; Hominidae.
GCAUUGGGUCGGCCUGGUAUUCUGUCGGUGUUGGCGCUUCUUCUCCCAAGCUCUUGCAGCCCCCUCGGGACUAGGUUUCCAACGGCGCUUGCGGGGGGCCUCGCGGAGGUGGAUGUGGAAAAGGCGAGCGCGGGGGAACUGUGCUGUAACCAUCGCCCCGCCUCCACAGAAAGCCCCGAAGCGCCGGCUCGGGGCCGAACGCGGGCAUCCGGCGUUCGUCUGUUAGGCAGGCAGACAUUAAGCGCCUACUGUGUGCUGGGCCCUACUCAAGACCCAGGCGGGGAGAACGGCGUCUGUCCGGUAGGCGCCCAGGGCUGCUGCAAAGCCCCGGAGCGAGGAGUGUGGCCCCUCAAACAGGGAGGAGAUGAGGUCCGAGGCCGACCGAGGUCAGAGACCCGCACCCACGAAAAGGGUCCACCCGUCGGGCUGGCUGCUUCCCAGUGCCGUGGAGAGCCCCUGAAGGUUUCUUUUUUUGAGAAGGAAUCUCGCUGUGUCGCCCAGGCUAGAAUGCAGUGGCGCUUUCUCGGCUCACUGCAACCUCCGCCUCGGGUUCAAGCUAUUCUCGUGCCUCAGCCUCCCGAAUAGCUGGGAUUACAGGCGCCUGCCACCAUGCCCGGUUAAUUUUUGUAUUUUUAGUAGAGACGAGGUUUCACCAUGUUGGCCAGGCUGGUCUUGAACUCUUGACCUCAAAUGAUCCGCCUGCUUCGGCCUCCCCAAGUCCUGGGAUUACAGGCGUGAGCCACCGCGCCUGGCCCCUUGAAGGGUUUUAUGCGGAGCAGUGAUCCCAUUCAUGCAUUUGAAAGACCUCUCUGGCUGUUGUGUGGAGAACAGAUCAAAGGGGGAGAAAGUGAGUUCAGAUAAACCAGCUCCGAGACUGCAUAAUCCAGUCAAGAGAUGAAGGGACUGGGUUUGAGAAUAUUGGGAGAUGAGAAUCAUGGCCCAGCACAGUGGCUCACGCCUGUAAUCCCAGCACUUUGGGAGGCUGAGGCGGGAGGAUCAGUUGAGCCCAGCAGUUGGAGGCCAGCCUGGGCAACAGGGGAAGACCCCAUUUCUACCAAAAAAUACAAAAUUAGCCGGCCAUGGUGGUGCAUGCCACAGUAGUCCCAACUACUCAAAAGGCUGAGGCAGGAGGAUCCUUUGAGCCCUGGAGUUGGAGGCUGCAGUGAGCUAUGAUCAUGCCACUUGCAUUACAGCUAGAAAUUAGUAAGAGCAAGUGACCCCUUGGGUAUGGGUACCCCGUUUCUGAAGUGAUUUUUUUUUUUGAAAGACACGAUCUCCCUCUGUCACCCAGGCUGGAGUGUAGUGGUGUGAUCAUGGCUCACUGCAGCCCCGAACUCCUGGGCUCAAGUGAUCCUCCUGCCUCAGCCUCCUGAGUAGUUGGGACUACAGGCGUGCACCACCAUACCCGACUAAUUUUGUAUUUGUGUGUGUGUGGCGACGGGGUCUCACUAUGUUGCCUAAAGUCAUUUCUUUUUGUUGUUUGUUUGUUUUGAGACAGAGCCUCACUCUGUCACCAGGCUGGAAUGCAGUAGCACAAUCUCGGCUCACUGCAACCUCCGACUCCCUGGUAUAAGCGAUUCUCCUGCCUCAAACUCCCGGGUAGCUGGGAUUAUAGGCAUGCGCCACCACGCCCAGCUAAUUUUUGUAUUUUUAGUAGAGAUGGGGUUUCACCAUGUUGGCCAGGAUGGUCUCGAUCUCCUGACAUCAUGAUCUGCCCACCUCGGCCUCCCAAAAUGCUGAGAUUACAGGCGUGAGCCACCGUGCCCAGCCUGUGAUUUCUUAAUCAGAAGAGUACCUGAUUGCUCUCCUUGGGUUUAAGAAGGCAGAAUAAAUAGCUACAUGAAUUCAGCCCACUGAAUACAUUCUAAAGUGUAACCUCAAUGUGAAAUAUAUUGUAUUGUAAUUGGAAGGCUGGGUCAGGAGCCCCAAAGCUUUGAAAGAACACCUCCUGAGAGUACAGUGGGAAAUCAACCACCAGCAGAUGAUGGUUGAGCUAGAAGAACCACGUGUUUCCACAGGGAGCUGCACACGAGGACCCGGUGGUCCCUGACCUGCCCUCUCCAGGGGGGACCUGCACUUUCUGCCACCAAAGAGGAUUCUCUGUAGGGAGGCCAGGAUGAUUCUCCAGAAUUUACCAUGCCUUGAGAUGAAAUUUCCUUUCAAACUUCCUUGUGUCCUUUUGUCCUCAUUCCAUGUUCACCAGUCUUCUGACUGUUUCAUUUUCCAGAAAGGAGAAACUGAAUAACAUGUAUAUUUUAACCUUGCCUGCAAUUGUAAAUCAAUAAAUUGGUGUAUUUACAUCAGAUCCCUGUGAGUUUGGUGCACAUAAGACAGUCAUGAAGACUUGGUCACUGUUGGUAGAGUUGGCCAAUAAAAUAUUGAACACAGUUAAAUUUGAAUUCAUGCAAUAUUUGGGGCAUAUUUAUACUAAAUAUGUGUUAU